Molecule: ribosomal RNA, 253 nt
Filed under: uncultured bacterium
Lineage: Bacteria
Description: partial 16S ribosomal RNA
Rfam family: Bacterial small subunit ribosomal RNA
Source: RNAcentral
AACGUAGGAGGCAAGCGUUAUCCGGAAUUACUGGGCGUAAAGGGCGUCUAGGCGGUAGGGCAAGCGGGAUGUGAAAGCUCCUGGCUCAACUGGGAGAGUGCGUUCCGAACUGCCGAACUAGAGGCCAGGCGAUGGGGGUGGAAUUCCCGGUGGAGUGGUGAAAUGCGUAGAGAUCGGGAGGAACACCAGUGGCGCAAGCGGCCCCCAAGCCUGAGCCUGACGCUGAAGCGCGACAGCGUGGGGAGCAAACGGG